CCUACGGGAGGCAGCAGUGAGGAAUAUUGGUCAAUGGGCGCGAGCCUGAACCAGCCAAGUAGCGUGAAGGAUGACUGCCCUACGGGUUGUAAACUUCUUUUAUAAAGGAAUACAGUGAGGCACGGGUGCCUUUUUGUAUGUACUUUAUGAUUAAGGAACGGCUAAACCCGUGCCAGCAGCCGCGGUAAUACGGAGGAUCGGACGGUUAUCCGGACUUAUUGGGUUUAAAGGGAGCGUAAAUGGGUUGUUAAGUCAGGUGUGAAAGUUUGUGGCUCAACCGUAAAAUUGCAAUUGAUACUAGCAGUCUUGAGUACGAUUGAGGUAGGCGGAAUUCGUGGUGUAGCGGUGAAAUGCGUAGAUAUCACGAAGAACUCCGAUUGCGAAGGCAGCUUACUAAGCUGCCACUGACACUGAUGCACGAAAGUGUGGGGAUCAAACAGGAUUAGAUACCCUUGUAGUC
RNAcentral lists this ribosomal RNA (460 nucleotides) under uncultured bacterium. Its description in RNAcentral is "partial 16S ribosomal RNA". It matches the Rfam family "Bacterial small subunit ribosomal RNA", at positions 338 to 795 of the family's 1533-position model. The record is from RNAcentral.